AUUCCCCUAGUAACGGCGAGUGAACCGGGAAGAGCUCAAAUUUGAAAUCUGGCGUCCUCAGGGCGUCCGAGUUGUAAUCUAUAGAGGCGUUUUCCGUGCCGGACCGUGUCCAAGUUCCUUGGAACAGGAUAUCAAAGAGGGUGACAAUCCCGUACUUGACACGACGACCGGUGCUCUGUGAUACGUCUUCUACGAGUCGAGUUGUUUGGGAAUGCAGCUCAAAAUGGGUGGUGAGUUCCAUCUAAAGCUAAAUAUUGGCGAGAGACCGAUAGCGAACAAGUACCGUGAGGGAAAGAUGAAAAGCACUUUGGAAAGAGAGUUAAACAGUACGUGAAAUUGUUGAAAGGGAAACGAUUGAAGUCAGUCGUGACCGAGAGGCUCAGCCGGUUCUGCCGGUGUAUUCCCCUCGGUCGGGUCAACAUCAGUUUUGUCCGGUGGAUAAGGACGGUAGGAAGGUGGCACCCUCGGGUGUGUUAUAGCCUGCCGUCGCAUACAUCGGGUGAGACUGAGGAACGCAGCUCG
RNAcentral lists this ribosomal RNA (522 nucleotides) under Papiliotrema laurentii. RNAcentral describes it as "eukaryotic LSU rRNA". It matches the Rfam family "Eukaryotic large subunit ribosomal RNA", at positions 74 to 602 of the family's 3401-position model. The record is from RNAcentral. Lineage: Eukaryota; Fungi; Basidiomycota; Tremellomycetes; Tremellales; Rhynchogastremaceae.